MicroRNA precursor from Oryctolagus cuniculus (rabbit), 61 nucleotides. Ensembl annotates it as ocu-mir-21. Its record names the gene ocu-mir-21. Lineage: Eukaryota; Metazoa; Chordata; Mammalia; Lagomorpha; Leporidae. The record is from Ensembl.
UAGCUUAUCAGACUGAUGUUGACUGUUGAAUCUCAUGGCAACAGCAGUCGAUGGGCUGUCU